CCUACGGGAGGCAGCAGUGGGGAAUUUUGGACAAUGGGCGCAAGCCUGAUCCAGCAAUGCCGCGUGAGUGAAGAAGGCCUUCGGGUUGUAAAGCUCUUUUGUCAGGGAAGAAACGGUGGGGGCUAAUAUCUCCUACUAAUGACGGUACCUGAAGAAUAAGCACCGGCUAACUACGUGCCAGCAGCCGCGGUAAUACGUAGGGUGCAAGCGUUAAUCGGAAUUACUGGGCGUAAAGCGUGCGCAGGCGGUUUUGUAAGUCUGUCGUGAAAGCCCCGGGCUCAACCUGGGAAUUGCGAUGGAGACUGCAAGGCUUGAAUCUGGCAGAGGGGGGUAGAAUUCCACGUGUAGCAGUGAAAUGCGUAGAGAUGUGGAGGAACACCGAUGGCGAAGGCAGCCCCCUGGGUCAAGAUUGACGCUCAUGCACGAAAGCGUGGGGAGCAAACAGGAUUAGAUACCCUGGUAGUCCACGCCCUAAACGAUGUCUACUAGUUGUCGGGUUUUAAUUAACUUGGUAACGCAGCUAACGCGUGAAGUAGACCGCCUGGGGAGUCGGUCGCAAGNUUAAAACUCAAAUGAAUUGAGCGNGAGAGNGCGAGACGACGACGAGGAGGAGG
Molecule: ribosomal RNA, 614 nt
Filed under: uncultured bacterium
Lineage: Bacteria
Description: bacterial SSU rRNA
Rfam family: Bacterial small subunit ribosomal RNA
Source: RNAcentral